Molecule: ribosomal RNA, 321 nt
Filed under: Bacillota bacterium
Lineage: Bacteria; Bacillati; Bacillota
Description: partial 23S ribosomal RNA
Rfam family: Bacterial large subunit ribosomal RNA
Source: RNAcentral
GAAUUCGGUCCCAAGGGUUCGGCUGUUCGCCGAUUAAAGUGGCACGCGAGCUGGGUUCAGAACGUCGUGAGACAGUUCGGUCCCUAUCUGUUGCGGGCGCAGGAGAUUUGAAGGGAGCUGUCCUUAGUACGAGAGGACCGGGAUGGACUGACCUCUGGUGCACCAGUUGUCGUGCCAACGGCACAGCUGGGUAGCUAUGUCGGGACGAGAUAAACGCUGAAGGCAUCUAAGCGUGAAACUCCCCCAUGGUUGAUAGGCCGGCGGUGUAAGCGCAGUAAUGUGUUCAGCCUACCGGUACUAAUAGCCCGAGGGCUUGACCUA